RNAcentral lists this ribosomal RNA (449 nucleotides) under uncultured bacterium. RNAcentral describes it as "partial 16S ribosomal RNA". It matches the Rfam family "Bacterial small subunit ribosomal RNA", at positions 29 to 523 of the family's 1533-position model. The record is from RNAcentral.
AACGAACGCUGGCGGCAUGCCUAACACAUGCAAGUCGAACGAGGGCUUCGGCCUUAGUGGCGCACGGGUGCGUAACGCGUGGGAAUCUGCCCCUCGGUUCGGAAUAACAGUUAGAAAUGACUGCUAAUACCGGAUGAUGACUUCGGUCCAAAGAUUUAUCGCCGAGGGAUGAGCCCGCGUAAGAUUAGGUAGUUGGUGGGGUAAAGGCCUACCAAGCCGACGAUCUUUAGCUGGUCUGAGAGGAUGAUCAGCCACACUGGGACUGAGACACGGCCCAGACUCCUACGGGAGGCAGCAGUGGGGAAUAUUGGACAAUGGGCGAAAGCCUGAUCCAGCAAUGCCGCGUGAGUGAUGAAGGCCUUAGGGUUGUAAAGCUCUUUUACCAGGGAUGAUAAUGACAGUACCUGGAGAAUAAGCUCCGGCUAACUCCGUGCCAGCCGCCGCUGUAA